ACAUGCAAGUCGAGCGGAAACGAGUUAUCUGAACCUUCGGGGGACGAUAACGGCGUCGAGCGGCGGACGGGUGAGUAAUGCCUAGGAAAUUGCCCUGAUGUGGGGGAUAACCAUUGGAAACGAUGGCUAAUACCGCAUAACGCCUACGGGCCAAAGAGGGGGACCUUCGGGCCUCUCGCGUCAGGAUAUGCCUAGGUGGGAUUAGCUAGUUGGUGAGGUAAGGGCUCACCAAGGCGACGAUCCCUAGCUGGUCUGAGAGGAUGAUCAGCCACACUGGAACUGAGACACGGUCCAGACUCCUACGGGAGGCAGCAGUGGGGAAUAUUGCACAAUGGGCGCAAGCCUGAUGCAGCCAUGCCGCGUGUGUGAAGAAGGCCUUCGGGUUGUAAAGCACUUUCAGUCGUGAGGAAGGUAGUGUAGUUAAUAGCUGCAUUAUUUGACGUUAGCGACAGAAGAAGCACCGGCUAA
This 468-nucleotide ribosomal RNA is filed under the name uncultured Vibrio sp. Its description in RNAcentral is "bacterial SSU rRNA". It matches the Rfam family "Bacterial small subunit ribosomal RNA", at positions 53 to 500 of the family's 1533-position model. Lineage: Bacteria; Pseudomonadati; Pseudomonadota; Gammaproteobacteria; Vibrionales; Vibrionaceae. The record is from RNAcentral.